AGAUGAUUCUUUCGACGUUACGCGUGACUUGAAUUAUGGUCCUCAGGUUUAUUCGCAAAUGUGAGUCACGGCACAGUACCAUUUUACUUGAUAUUAGAACGAGAACGGGAGGUGCAGUGCGCACGCACAAGGAAACAAAUUACGGGAGAGGGAAGAAAGGAGAAGGAGUUUAUGUAUUUGCAGCGCGAAAUGAAACAGGUGCAAUCAUACCAGCACUAAUGCAACGGAU
Molecule: long non-coding RNA, 229 nt
Filed under: Carica papaya (papaya)
Lineage: Eukaryota; Viridiplantae; Streptophyta; Magnoliopsida; Brassicales; Caricaceae
Description: long non-coding RNA (CPAP_LNC015036)
Source: RNAcentral